Scylla paramamosain (green mud crab) is the source of this 3821-nucleotide RNA transcript. It is a transcript of the gene named ran-specific GTPase-activating protein-like, with no coding region annotated. NCBI's taxonomy places the organism in Eukaryota, Metazoa, Arthropoda, Malacostraca, Decapoda, Portunidae. The record is from RefSeq and is a predicted model, not a curated record. The transcript is spliced from 15 exons.
GGAAGUGGAGGGUGCAGUGUGAGGAAGAGCGAGGGUUGUAGCAGGGAAAGUACUGGUCUGUGCUGCGUGUGGGAAGUGACUUUAGUGGCGGCGUGAAGGCGAGGACACGAGUGAGGUGCUGGCAGGCUGACUGAGAACGUCAUUGUACGACAGAGUAGCCAGCUAAACAGCCGAGCCCUCAGCGUGCGCCUCCCGCCGGACAAGGGACCCUACAUCCAACACUACCUCAUUGAGAUCCACAACGAAGGCUCCUCCUACUCACUCCAAGCUUCUGAAAACCGCUUCGACACCCUUCCUUCGCUCAUCACCUAUUAUUCUCAGUGCUGCGAAGAGUUGCUGGCUCAGCUCAAGCUUCCUCGCACCGUCCAGGAGGCCAAGACCCGCCAUGAACUCGGCUCUCUCUCGCUGCUCGGACAAGGUGGUGCAUCACAGCGUCAGACUCACAGAGGAUGUGUAGCCGAGGCAAUGACACGUGGACGGCGCUGAUGGCGGCCAGAACCUCUUGGGCGUCUUGGUCACACACGGCCAGGCUGAGCACCCCCAGGUCCCGCCACUCCUGCAGCAGCUGUGUGCCGGCACCACUUAAGUGACCCAUGAACCUCUCAAGGAAGAUGAGCUUCGCGCGACGGACGCAAACUUUCGGAGCGGCGGCCAUGGUGGAGGGCUUGGGACACAGUUCUUCUCGCCAGCAGCCUGCAAAGAAAUUUCCCAAAAACAGUUGGCCAAAAUAAUAAAGGCAGAAGUAAGACUAAGCUUUGAAGAAAGAACAUGUCAUAAAGUGUUACUGGAGGCACGAAAAUGUCAAAGAAGUGCAAAGACAAUUCAGAAGACACUUUGACAGGGAUCCACCAAGGUGACGCGCCAUUGCUCGCAUCACAGCUAAAUUUGCAUCAACAACCACCACCACCACCACCAGCAUGGCAGUGAGUAGCAGGAGUAGUGAAUGGUCACACGUUUGUGGUGACUUCUUGGACUAUCAGGCUGCCCUUGUAGUGUGUUGGACUAUCGGUGAACAAGGAGACCUGAAAGUUACGUGGUACAACUAUUUCGGUGAUAGAAGUGGCUGAGUUGCCGAUCCAAAGGCCUGGCUUAAGAGUGAUCCCGAGCUACCUGUACCAUCAAGAUCAAGAUCGAGCUUCCAUAUCAGAUGGUGAGUCUGCUUACAAAAUUGCAUCGCGGGGAUUGAUAGAGACAGCCACAAUUAUCCAUCAUCAUCGGCGACACCAUGGCUCUUGAGAAGACAGACAGACCUCGAUGACAGCGUGGUGAGCGAGGAGUGGGAGUCAACCAGCAGAGUAGGGGAGCAUGACCCCUACUUUGAACCAGUGGUGACCUUGCUGGAGGUCUUCGUGGUUAGUGAUGAUGACCAGGAGGAGGAAAUGAUAAGACUGAGUUUCGAGGUCAGGUCAGGCAGUACAAGCUGUUUCUUUAUCACACUUCUGAGUCACCCCCACAGUGGAAGGAACGGGGCAUGGAGGCCAUUAACAUUCUGAGGAACAAGCAGAAGAAGGCUGUGGAGUUUGUUCAGCGGCAGAAUUAAUGCCAGUGGCUGAGUUCAGAUCCUCCAAGACACACGGACACACAUACAGCAGCCCCUCCACCUCCCCACAGCCCUCCACAGCCCCUGACACAGCAUCUAACACAGCCCCUUCACAGAACACCACAUACCUCACACAUACAUAAGAACAUAAGAACAUAAGAAAUAAGGGAAGCUGCAAGAAGCGACCAAGCUUACAUGUGGCAGUCCCUGUAUGAAAUAUACCUACCUAUUUUCCAUCUGUUAUCCCCAUCCAUAAACUUGUCUAAUCUUCUCUUAAAGCUCUCUAGUGUCCUAGCACUAACAACAUGAUUACUGAGUCUGUUCCACUCAUCUACCACUCUUUUUGAGAACAAAUUUUUUCCUAUCUCCAUCCUAAACCCAAAUUUUUCAAGCUUGUACCCAUUAUUUCUUGUUCUACCCUGGUUGCUGAUCCUAAGAAUUUUGUCUACAUCCCCCUUGUUAUAACCCUUAUACCACUCAAAGACUUCUAUCAGGUCCCCUCUUAACCUACGUAUCUCUUAAGAAUGUAAAUUUAACAGCUUCAACCUCGCCUCGUAAGGAAUACUCCUCAUCCCCUGUAUCCUUUUAGUCAUUCUCCUCUGUACUGAUUCUAAUAGACCUAUAUCUUUCCUGUAAUGUGGGGACCAGAACUGCACCGCGUAGUCUAGAUGAGGUCUGACCAGCGCCAAGUAUAACUUUAAUACUACUUCCGGCCUUCUACUUUUAACACUCCUAAAAAUCACACACACCACAGGAGCCUCACAAACAGUCUCACAGCCUUCACAAGCAGCCCCACACUCCACCACAGACACACCAGACCCACAGCCCUUCACCUCACCCACUUCCCAGCCCCCCACAGCCCCCCAGCCACCACAAAUGAAGUGAAAGGAAGGGACUGUGGCUUCACCCAGCCAGCCAGGACAGCCUACAGAGAGGGGGUAGUCCCAGUCAAGUCACAAAAUAUAGGCUUGGUUCUUCCUACAGUUUGAAGUCAAUGAUUGGACAGGCCAGACAGCUUAGUGCCAGAGCUGCAGGUGGCCCUUGUCAGCUUCCUGGUGGUACAGGUGUAGGACGGCUGGGAGCAGUGGAGGUGCCUGGUGGAGCAGCUGUGCCGGGCAGAGGGGCUGCUGCUGCUGCUGCUGCUGCUGCUGCUGCUGCUGCUGGAGAGAGCCACACUUGUAUGCCCCACAGUUACUGACCUUGACUCAAACACCAUCACGGCACUCUCUUCCCUGUUAAACUUGCCGGGAUCCAUUGUAAUGUAAGGGGUAUUGAAUGUGAGCGAUGAAACGAGAAGGUAGUGGCAAGGGGGAAAAAAGUACAGGGGAGCGCAGGAGAGACACCUCUCUCCACUGUGCCUGACAGUCUCUCAGUGAUUGAAAGACUGAGCAUAACAUCUUCAGGGCACGUGGUAACACAGAGAGGAAGUGGAAGGAAGCUUGGGAUGCUCCCAUAACUCAGGAGCAAGAAAUACACCUUACUGGAAACCUUGUGACUGACAGGUGGCGGUGACUGCAGGAACCAAUUCAGAUGUCUGUCUUGUGUUGGCGAACGUCCUGUCUGCAGUCAGGCCAGUAGUGCCAUGUCACAGGGUGUGACAUCAGGUGAAGAGCCAAAUGGAGUGUGUCUGCAGCCAGUACUGGGUGUGCUGAUGGUGUACAAGUGUCGAGCCAGGUGCCACAGCACAUGUCAGCUGACUCCACCAGGGUAGUGUCUCUAGUCCAGGAUGCACUGCUGUGUACGACUUGUAUGUCUUUGCUAAUAAAUAAAUAUUUGUGACUAUUCUUAUUAUAUAUAUGUGAAAUAAAUAUAUAGUUAGCUAACAGUGUGGUAUAAUAGUGUAAAAAUAAAUAUUUGAUAAUUCAUGCAUGCCCCAAAGGUAAAAAAAAAACAGGAUUGUGCCCUCUAAACUUUUAAGAUACCACUUGCACAUAGAAGCCCCGUCGCAGCGACUCCAGUGUCGGCUGGGAUGGGGCUUCUAUGUGCAAAUGGUAUCUUAAACUUAGUUUAGUAGCCAAUCCUGACUUUUUUUUUUUUUUUACCUUGGGGGCAUGACCUGUACUCCCAGAAAGACUUUGCCAAAGAUAUUAUUGACAUGGCAUAAAUAACUAUCAGUUUUUUUUUUUACCUUGGGGGCAUGACCUGUACUCCCAGAAAGACUAUUUGCCAAAGAUAUUAUUGACAUGGCAUAAAUAACUAUCAUUAUGUUCAAGAUGGUAUACUGAAUGUUUAUUGUUUUAAUGUGAAUGUUAAGUGAAUAAAUACACAACAAUAAUAUAAA